GACGAACGCUGGCGGCGUGCUUAACACAUGCAAGUCGAACGGGUCUGCCCUGUUUUUUGCGGGGUGGGUCAGUGGCGAACGGGUGAGUAACACGAGAGUAACCUGCCCCUCACUUCUGGAUAACCGCUUGAAAGGGGGGCUAAUACGGGGUGUUCUGGCUGUGCCGCAUGGUGUGGCUGGGAAAGAUUCACUUUUGUGGUGUUUUGGUGGGGGAUGGGCUCGCGGCCUAUCAGCUUGUUGGUGGGGUGAUGGCCUGCCAAGGCUUUGACGGGUAGCCGGCCUGAGAGGGUGGGCGGUCACACUGGGACUGAGAUACGGCCCAGACUCCUGCGGGAGGCAGCAGUGGGGGGUAUUGCACAAUGGGCGGAAGCCUGAUGCAGCGACGUCGCGUGAGGGAUGGAGGCCUUCGGGUUGUGAACCUCUUUCGCCGGUGAAGAAGGUCCUGCUCUUUGGGGUGGGGUUGACGGUAGCCGGGUUAUGAAGCGCCGGCUAACUACGUG
RNAcentral lists this ribosomal RNA (500 nucleotides) under uncultured bacterium. RNAcentral describes it as "partial 16S ribosomal RNA". It matches the Rfam family "Bacterial small subunit ribosomal RNA", at positions 28 to 507 of the family's 1533-position model. The record is from RNAcentral.